Molecule: ribosomal RNA, 521 nt
Filed under: uncultured Glomus
Lineage: Eukaryota; Fungi; Glomeromycota; Glomeromycetes; Glomerales; Glomeraceae
Description: SSU rRNA
Rfam family: Eukaryotic small subunit ribosomal RNA
Source: RNAcentral
AGCAGCCGCGGUAAUUCCAGCUCCAAUAGCGUAUAUUAAAGUUGUUGCAGUUAAAAAGCUCGUAGUUGAAUUUCGGGAUCAAUACGUCGGUCGUGCUUAGGUACGUACUGGCGUAAUUGAUUUCUCCCUUCUGACGAACCAUGAUGUCAUUAACUUGGUGUCAUGGGAAAUCAGGACUGUUACUUUGAAAAAAUUAGAGUGUUUAAAGCAGGCUCACGCUUGAAUACAUUAGCAUGGAAUAAUGAAAUAGGACGUUCGAUCCUAUUUUGUUGGUUUUAGGAUCAACGUAAUGAUUAAUAGGGAUAGUUGGGGGCAUUAGUAUUCAAUUGUCAGAGGUGAAAUUCUUGGAUUUAUUGAAGACUAACUACUGCGAAAGCAUUUGCCAAAGAUGUUUUCAUUAAUCAAGAACGAAAGUUAGGGGGAUCGAAGACGAUCAGAUACCGUCGUAGUCUUAACCAUAAACUAUGCCGACUAGGGAUCGGAUGAUGUUAAUUUUUUAAUGACUCAUUCGGCGCCUUACG